GACGAACGCUGGCGGCGUGCUUAACACAUGCAAGUCGAACGGAAAGGCCCUGCUUUUGUGGGGUGCUCGAGUGGCGAACGGGUGAGUAACACGUGAGUAACCUGCCCUUGACUUUGGGAUAACUUCAGGAAACUGGGGCUACUACCGGAUAGGAGCUCCUGCUGCAUGGUGGGGGUUGGAACGUUUCGGCGGUUGGGGAUGGACUCGCGGCUUAUCAGCUUGUUGGUGGGGUAGUGGCUUACCAAGGCUUUGACGGGUAGCCGGCCUGAGAGGGUGACCGGCCACAUUGGGACUGAGAUACGGCGCAGACGCCUACGGGAGGCAGCAGGGGGGAAUAUGGCACAAUGAGCGGAAGUCUGAUGCAGCAACGCCGCGUGCGGGAUGACGGCCUGCGGGUUGUAAACCGCUGUCGCCUGUGACGAAGCGUGAGUGACGGUAAUGGGUAAAGAAGCACCGGCUAACUACGUG
RNAcentral lists this ribosomal RNA (468 nucleotides) under uncultured bacterium. RNAcentral describes it as "partial 16S ribosomal RNA". It matches the Rfam family "Bacterial small subunit ribosomal RNA", at positions 28 to 507 of the family's 1533-position model. The record is from RNAcentral.